RNAcentral lists this ribosomal RNA (503 nucleotides) under uncultured Acidobacteriota bacterium. RNAcentral's name for it is "bacterial SSU rRNA". It matches the Rfam family "Bacterial small subunit ribosomal RNA", at positions 13 to 529 of the family's 1533-position model. Lineage: Bacteria; Pseudomonadati; Acidobacteriota. The record is from RNAcentral.
UUGAUCCUGGCUCAGAAUCAACGCUGGCGGCGUGCCUCAGACAUGCAAGUCGAACGAUUAAGACUCUCUUCGGAGAGUGUAUAGAGUGGCGCACGGGUGUGUAACACGUAGGUAAUUUGCCUUCGGGUGGGGAAUAACUUGGGGAAACCUAAGCUAAUACCGCAUAAUGCAGCGGCACCAAAUGGUGACAGUUGUUAAAUCUUUAUGUGCCUGAAGAGAAGCCUGCGGUGGAUUAGGUAGUUGGUAAGGUAAUGGCUUACCAAGCCUGCGAUCCAUAUCCGGUCUUAGAGGACGGUCGGUCACACUGACACUGAAUAACGGGUCAGACUCCUACGGGAGGCAGCAGUCGUGAAUUUUGGGCAAUGGGCGAAAGCCUGACCCAGCAACGCCGCGUGAAGGUUGAAGUCCUUCGGGAUGUAAACUUCGGAAGAAUGGGAAGAAUAAAUGACUGUACCAUUUUUAAGCCCCGGCUAACUCCGUGCCAGCAGCCGCGGUAAUAUGGU